Long non-coding RNA from Megalobrama amblycephala (Wuchang bream), 541 nucleotides. RefSeq lists it as uncharacterized. The transcript has 3 exons. NCBI's taxonomy places the organism in Eukaryota, Metazoa, Chordata, Actinopteri, Cypriniformes, Xenocyprididae. The record is from RefSeq and is a predicted model, not a curated record.
AUCCCGAGUCCUUUUAGUCUGAGACAAAGACAAGACCGAGACCAAAUGCGGCCAAGACCAAGACCUUUAAAAAAUGGUCUUAAGACCGGUCUCAAGACCAAGACGAGUGCUACAACACUAGGCUGAAGCACAGAAAAUGAAAUAUGUAAAUAUUUGAAGUGAGAUAUUUCUUUCUCACUUAUCUGGUUUUAACCACAUACUCAGAUCAUGUUUAUGUGUGUGCGUGUGUGCACACUUCCUGUACAUCUUUAUUAACACUAUAGCUAAACUGUAGAUGCAGAUAUAAAAGAGAAGUGGGUCCAGGACAAGGGCAGAUUCUAUGUUUUCUCCACUGAUACCAUGGACUGGAACAGCAGCAGAGAACGCUGUCAGGAUCUGGGUGGAGACCUGGUCAUCAUCAACAGCAUGGAAGAGCAGGAAUUUCUCUCUGAAAGAGUCAUUGACUACCACUGGAUUGGCCUGACCGACAGCCAGACAGAGGGGGUGUGGCUUUGGGUGGACAACACCCCCUUAAACAACAACCUCUUAUGGGAGUCACCCC